Molecule: long non-coding RNA, 1184 nt
Organism: Oncorhynchus kisutch (coho salmon)
Lineage: Eukaryota; Metazoa; Chordata; Actinopteri; Salmoniformes; Salmonidae
Exons: 3
Source: RefSeq, a predicted model, not a curated record
GAGAAGGCCUUGCUGGCCCUGACGGCCCACCACUGUGAAUGUGGUACCUUCAGGUGUUUGGAAAUUGCUCCCAAGGAUGAACCUGACUUGUGGAAGUCCACCAUUUUUUGGCUGAUUUCUUUUGAUGUUCCCAUGAUGUCAAGCAAAGAGGCACUGAGUUUGAAGAUUACACAGCCACAGCUUUCCCAUUUUGACAACAGAAGCCGGCCCGGUGAGAGAAAUCAAUAGGGUCUGGCGCUCUAAGGAUCCAGCUGUCGUCUCCCUUGAGGGAAGUAUUCAACUUCAUGGUCCAAACCACCUGCGCUCUAUUGACUUCUACAACACACAAGCACACUCAUUCUGCGUUGAUAUACCGCUGUUGCUCAUGAUGGAGAAGUGAUGUUUUACAUAUAGGCUAGUGUACAGUUUUUUGAAUCAUGGAGGUCUACACACCCUUGGUGGUCAUGGUCCAGGUCUCUGCUUCCAGUUGAACAACCUAUUGAAACAAAGAACAUGGACAUUGGCUAAUUGGUUGGGUAUAGUAUGUACAGAACAGAAGUUUUUUCCAACUAGAAAUCACAUUACUCAGUAGAGCCCUGGGGAAAAUAUAUAGAGCUUUGAUUAUGUCAGUCAUUCAUAUUCUUAGCAUGACUUCACACACAAUUUAUGGGCCAACAUGAAUUCUAUGACUCUAAAUGAUAAAGAAAAUGUAUGCUUAAUUCAGUAUAAACUAAUGUAUAGAAUUUAUUAUACAAGAGACAAAAUUCACAAAUUCUACAGCACAACGGCAGAGACAUGUCUUAAGUGUAAAACGAACAAUGACUCAAUAAUCCAUGCCUUCUGGGAAUGCUUUAAAGUCCAAACAUUAUGGGUGGAGAUAGAAAUUUGGCUGUAGUAGUAUUACAAUGUAAAUGUGCUUUUAAUCUGUCUGUCUGCAUAUUUCAAGACACGGCAUAUGAGGGUGCAGUGAGAUACCCCAAAGUGAGGAUGCUGGAAAAGUAAUGUGAUCUGUGUGGUGGAAUUAUUGUAAUCAAAAGCAGAGACCUUUAGAUUUCUUCAAAACAAUCCAACUUUAUUAUUUAAUUACUGCAGUAAUGAAGCUGGUCGGUAAUGUCACGCCCUGGCCUUAGUUAUCUUUGUUUUCUUUAUUAUUUUGGUUAGGCCAGGGUGUGACAUGGGUGAUGUAUGGCUUUUGUCUCAUCUAG